RNAcentral lists this ribosomal RNA (372 nucleotides) under uncultured organism. RNAcentral's name for it is "partial 16S ribosomal RNA". It matches the Rfam family "Bacterial small subunit ribosomal RNA", at positions 527 to 896 of the family's 1533-position model. The record is from RNAcentral.
GUAGGUGGCAAGCGUUGUCCGGAAUUAUUGGGCGUAAAGCGCGCGCAGGCGGUUCUUUAAGUCUGAUGUGAAAGCCCACGGGCUCAACCGUGGAGGGUCAUUGGAAACUGGAGAACUUGAGUACAGAAGAGGAAAGCGGAAUUCCACGUGUAGCGGUGAAAUGCGUAGAGAUGUGGAGGAACACCAGUGGCGGAGGCGGCUUUCUGGUCUGUAACUGACGCUGAGGCGCGAAAGCGUGGGGAGCAAACAGGAUUAGAUACCCUGGUAGUCCACGCCGUAAACGAUGAGUGCUAAGUGUUAGGGGGUUUCCGCCCCUUAGUGCUGCAGCUAACGCAUUAAGCACUCCGCCUGGGGAGUACGGCCGCAAGGCUG